Molecule: ribosomal RNA, 253 nt
Filed under: uncultured bacterium
Lineage: Bacteria
Description: partial 16S ribosomal RNA
Rfam family: Bacterial small subunit ribosomal RNA
Source: RNAcentral
UACGUAGGGUGCAAGCGUUGUCCGGAAUUAUUGGGCGUAAAGAGCUCGUAGGCGGUCUGUCGCGUCUGCUGUGAAAACCUAGGGCUUAACUCUGGGCGUGCAGUGGGUACGGGCAGGCUAGAGUGCGGUAGGGGAGACUGGAAUUCCUGGUGUAGCGGUGAAAUGCGCAGAUAUCAGGAGGAACACCGAUGGCGAAGGCAGGUCUCUGGGCCGAUACUGACGCUCAUGCACGAAAGCGUGGGGAGCAAACAGG